RNAcentral lists this microRNA (23 nucleotides) under Melibe leonina. RNAcentral describes it as "mle-miR-12096a-3p". Lineage: Eukaryota; Metazoa; Mollusca; Gastropoda; Nudibranchia; Dendronotidae. The record is from miRBase by way of RNAcentral.
UAGGGCAAAGUUAUCACCGAUUA